Molecule: long non-coding RNA, 672 nt
Organism: Phaethon lepturus (White-tailed tropicbird)
Lineage: Eukaryota; Metazoa; Chordata; Aves; Phaethontiformes; Phaethontidae
Exons: 4
Source: RefSeq, a predicted model, not a curated record
GCAGUUUCUCUGGCAUUUCACAAUUGCAAAGAGCCCUUUGGGCUUCUCUGCCUUCUGUGAUACCCUGUUCUUGGCAGUGCUGUGGUGUGGGAAGAAGGCUGAGGGCAGCUUUAGCAACUUGAACACAAAGGCACAUAAUCUUACUGGCACAGCAGAGGGUGAUACAGAGAAGGAAUAUACAGAGAGACACCAGUCUUUUUUUGUGACCACAGUCAGCCCAUGAAGAGUGAGUGCUCUCAGCCACCUACAAAAUACUGUGGAGAAAAUGUAUGCUAGUCGAGAGGAUAUUGGGUAUGAUUUUGGAGAUGACUCGAAAGUUGGAAGUAAGCCAAUUAAGCCUAAUCCAAACAUCGAUGGAGGAUGGGCUUGGAUGAUUGUACUUUCCUCCUUCCUUGUGCACAUACUUAUCAUGGGGUCCCAAAUGGCCCUUGGAAUACUCAACAUGGAAUGGCUUGAAGAGUUUAAUCAAAGUCGUGGCUUAACAGCGUGGGUUAGCUCCCUUAGCAUGGGCAUUACACUUAUUGUAGGUCCUUUCAUUGGUUUAUUCAUCAGCAUGUGUGGGUGCCGCAAGACAGCUAUAAUUGGAGGGAUAUUGAAUGCCCUAGGUUGGAUACUGAGUGCCUAUGCCUCAGAUGUGCACUACCUCUUCCUUACGUUUGGAGUGACAGCCGG